GACGAACGCUGGCGGCGUGCUUAACACAUGCAAGUCGAACGCUGAAGCACCAGCUUGCUGGUGUGGAUGAGUGGCGAACGGGUGAGUAAUACGUGAGUAACCUGCCCUUGACUCUGGGAUAAGCCCGGGAAACUGGGUCUAAUACUGGAUGCUACAUGUCACCGCAUGGUGGUGUGUGGAAAGGGUUUACUGGUCUUGGAUGGGCUCACGGCCUAUCAGCUUGUUGGUGAGGUAAUGGCUCACCAAGGCGACGACGGGUAGCCGGCCUGAGAGGGUGACCGGCCACACUGGGACUGAGACACGGCCCAGACUCCUACGGGAGGCAGCAGUGGGGAAUAUUGCACAAUGGGCGAAAGCCUGAUGCAGCGACGCCGCGUGAGGGAUGACGGCCUUCGGGUUGUAAACCUCGUUCAGCAGGGAAGAAGCCACAAGUGACGGUACCUGCAGAAGAAGCGCCGGCUAACUACGUG
RNAcentral lists this ribosomal RNA (470 nucleotides) under uncultured bacterium. RNAcentral's name for it is "partial 16S ribosomal RNA". It matches the Rfam family "Bacterial small subunit ribosomal RNA", at positions 28 to 507 of the family's 1533-position model. The record is from RNAcentral.